This 468-nucleotide ribosomal RNA is filed under the name uncultured bacterium. RNAcentral's name for it is "partial 16S ribosomal RNA". It matches the Rfam family "Bacterial small subunit ribosomal RNA", at positions 28 to 507 of the family's 1533-position model. The record is from RNAcentral.
GACGAACGCUGGCGGCGUGCUUAACACAUGCAAGUCGAACGGAAAGACCCUGCUUUUGUGGGGUGCUCGAGUGGCGAACGGGUGAGUAACACGUGAGUAACCUGCCCUUGACUUUGGGAUAACUUCAGGAAACUGGGGCUAAUACCGGAUAGGAGCUCCUGCGGCAUGGUGGGGGUUGGAAAGUUUCGGCGGUUGGGGAUGGACUCGCGGCUUAUCAGCUUGUUGGUGGGGUAGUGGCUUACCAAGGCUUUGACGGGUAGCCGGCCUGAGAGGGUGACCGGCCACAUUGGGACUGAGAUACGGCCCAGACUCCUACGGGAGGCAGCAGUGGGGAAUAUUGCACAAUGGGCGGAAGCCUGAUGCAGCAACGCCGCGUGCGGGAUGACGGCCUUCGGGUUGUAAACCGCUUUCGCCUGUGACGAAGCGUGAGUGACGGUAAUGGGUAAAGAAGCACCGGCUAACUACGUG